CAGCAGAAAUCCAACUACGAGCUUUUUAACUGCAACAACUUUAAUAUACGCUAUUGGAGCUGGAAUUACCGCGGCUGCUGGCACCAGACUUGCCCUCCAAUUGUUACUCUGAAAGGGGUUUGGAUUCCUAUCAUUCCAAUCACUAGAAAUGAAAUUUCCAGUGUUGUUAUUUCUUGUCACUACCUCCCUGAAUCAGGAUUGGGUAAUUUGCGCGCCUGCUGCCUUCCUUAGAUGUGGUAGCCGUUUCUCAGGCUCCCUCUCCGGAAUCGAACCCUAAUUCCCCGUUACCCGUCACUGCCACGGUAGUCCAAUACAGUACCGUCGAAAGCUGAUAGGUCAGAAACUUGAAUGAUCCGUCGCAGACCGAAGUCAACGCGAUCCGUUCGGUUACUAUGAAUCACCUGAGGACCACCGGAAGGUGGGUUGGUUCUGUAUCUAAUAAACACUGCCCUUCCAGGGGAAGAGGCAUGUGCGCAUGUAUUAGCCAUAGAAUUACCACGGUUAUCCAUGUAGUAAAGACCAUCAAAUAAACUAUAACUGUUUUAAUGAGCCAUUCGCAGUUUAGCCGUAUAAAAGCUUAUACUUAGACAUGCAUGGCUUAAUCUUUAAGACAAGCAUAUGA
Molecule: ribosomal RNA, 622 nt
Filed under: Toxoplasma gondii ME49
Lineage: Eukaryota; Apicomplexa; Conoidasida; Eucoccidiorida; Sarcocystidae
Description: Toxoplasma gondii rRNA TGME49_460490
Source: RNAcentral